AUUGAACGCUGGCGGCAGGCCUAACACAUGCAAGUCGAGCGAGCGGCGUACGGGUGAGUCUUGUAUGGGGACUGCCCGAUCGAGGGGGAUAACUCCUGGAAACGGUGGCUAAUACCGCAUACUGUCGUAUAACCCAUGUGGGAUUAGCUAGUAGGUAAGGUAAUGGCUUACCUAGGCGACGAUCCCUAGCUGGUCUGAGAGGAUGAUCAGCCACACUGCGACUGAGAGACGGCCCUGACUCCUACGGAGGCAGCAGUGUGGAAUAUUGCACGAAGGGCGCAAGCCUGAUGCAGCCAUGCCGCGUGUAUUAAGAAGGACCUAGAGUUAUAAGGUACUUUCAGACGGGAGGCGUUACCGAGAGAAGAAGAACCGGCUAACUCCGUGCCAGCCGCCGCGGUAAUUC
This 403-nucleotide ribosomal RNA is filed under the name uncultured bacterium. RNAcentral's name for it is "partial 16S ribosomal RNA". It matches the Rfam family "Bacterial small subunit ribosomal RNA", at positions 30 to 526 of the family's 1533-position model. The record is from RNAcentral.